AACGAACGCUGGCGGCGUGGAUAAGACACGCAAGUCGAGCGCGAACUAUUUUGUAGCAAUACAGAGUAGUUCGAGCGGCGCAAGGGUGCGUAACACGUGGGAAUCUGCCGUGAAGUUGGGGAUAAUUCCGGGAAACCGGAACUAAUACCGAAUGUGGCCGCAAGGCCAAAGCUGGGGAUCGCAAGACCUGGCGCUUUACGAUGAGCCCGCGGCCUAUCAGCUAGUUGGUGAGGUAAUGGCUCACCAAGGCUAAGACGGGUAGCUGGUCUGAGAGGACGACCAGCCACACUGGAACUGAGACACGGUCCAGACACCUACGGGUGGCAGCAGUCGAGAAUUUUUCUCAAUGGGCGAAAGCCUGAAGGAGCGACGCCGCGUGGGGGAUGAAGGGUUUUCGAUCCGUAAACCCCUGCAUUCAUGAACAAUGGUUAUCGUUUAAGAGAUGAUGACUUGAUAGUAAUGGAAGAGGAAGGGACGGCUAACUCUGUGCC
Molecule: ribosomal RNA, 491 nt
Filed under: uncultured bacterium
Lineage: Bacteria
Description: bacterial SSU rRNA
Rfam family: Bacterial small subunit ribosomal RNA
Source: RNAcentral